ACUCCUACGGGAGGCAGCAGUGGGGAAUAUUGCACAAUGGGCGCAAGCCUGAUGCAGCCAUGCCGCGUGUGUGAAGAAGGCCUUCGGGUUGUAAAGCACUUUCAGUCGUGAGGAAGGUAGUGUAGUUAAUAGCUGCAUUAUUUGACGUUAGCGACAGAAGAAGCACCGGCUAACUCCGUGCCAGCAGCCGCGGUAAUACGGAGGGUGCGAGCGUUAAUCGGAAUUACUGGGCGUAAAGCGCAUGCAGGUGGUUGUUAAGUCAGAUGUGAAAGCCCGGGGCUCAACCUCGGAAUAGCAUUUGAAACUGGCAGACUAGAGUACUGUAGAGGGGGUAGAAUUUCAGGUGUAGCGGUGAAAUGCGUAGAGAUCUGAAGGAAUACCGGUGGCGAAGGCGGCCCCUGGACAGAUACUGACACUCAGAUGCGAAAGCGUGGGAGCAAACAGGAUUAGAUACCCCUGGUAGCGACUGA
RNAcentral lists this ribosomal RNA (470 nucleotides) under uncultured bacterium. RNAcentral describes it as "bacterial SSU rRNA". It matches the Rfam family "Bacterial small subunit ribosomal RNA", at positions 335 to 803 of the family's 1533-position model. The record is from RNAcentral.